RNAcentral lists this ribosomal RNA (465 nucleotides) under Vreelandella stevensii. RNAcentral's name for it is "partial 16S ribosomal RNA". It matches the Rfam family "Bacterial small subunit ribosomal RNA", at positions 338 to 795 of the family's 1533-position model. Lineage: Bacteria; Pseudomonadati; Pseudomonadota; Gammaproteobacteria; Oceanospirillales; Halomonadaceae. The record is from RNAcentral.
CCUACGGGAGGCUGCAGUGGGGAAUAUUGGACAAUGGGGGGAACCCUGAUCCAGCCAUGCCGCGUGUGUGAAGAAGGCCCUCGGGUUGUAAAGCACUUUCAGUGAGGAAGAACGCCUGGUGGUUAAUACCCAUCAGGAAAGACAUCACUCACAGAAGAAGCACCGGCUAACUCCGUGCCAGCAGCCGCGGUAAUACGGAGGGUGCGAGCGUUAAUCGGAAUUACUGGGCGUAAAGCGCGCGUAGGUGGCUUGAUAAGCCGGUUGUGAAAGCCCCGGGCUCAACCUGGGAACGGCAUCCGGAACUGUCAAGGUAGAGUGGAGGAGAGGGAGGUAGAAUUCCCGGUGUAGCGGUGAAAUGCGUAGAGAUCGGGAGGAAUAACCGUGGCGAAGGCGGCCUUCUGGACUGACACUGACACUGAGGUGCGAAAGCGUGGGUAGCAAACAGGAUUAGAUACCCGAGUAGUC